CGCGGCCUAUCAGCUUGUUGGUGAGGUAAUGGCUCACCAAGGCGUCGACGGGUAGCCGGCCUGAGAGGGUGACCGGCCACACUGGGACUGAGACACGGCCCAGACUCCUACGGGAGGCAGCAGUGGGGAAUAUUGCGCAAUGGGCGAAAGCCUGAUGCAGCAACGCCGCGUGAGGGAUGACGGCCUUCGGGUUGUAAACCUCUUUUAACAGGGAAGAAGCGAAAGUGACGGUACCUGCAGAAAAAGCGCCGGCUAACUACGUGCCAGCAGCCGCGGUAAUACGUAGGGCGCAAGCGUUAUCCGGAAUUAUUGGGCGUAAAGAGCUCGUAGGCGGUUUGUCGCGUCUGCUGUGAAAUCCCGAGGCUCAACCUCGGGCCUGCAGUGGGUACGGGCAGACUAGAGUGCGGUAGGGGAGAUUGGAAUUCCUGGUGUAGCGGUGGAAUGCGCAGAUAUCAGGAGGAACACCGAUGGCGAAGGCAGAUCUCUGGGCCGUAACUGACGCUGAGGAGCGAAAGGGUGGGGAGCAAACAGGCUUAGAUACCCUGGUAGUCCACCCCGUAAACGUUGGGAACUAGUUAUGGGGACCAUUCCACGGUUUCCGUGACGCAGCUAACGCAUUAAGUUCCCCGCCUGGGGAGUACGG
This 643-nucleotide ribosomal RNA is filed under the name uncultured bacterium. RNAcentral describes it as "bacterial SSU rRNA". It matches the Rfam family "Bacterial small subunit ribosomal RNA", at positions 232 to 885 of the family's 1533-position model. The record is from RNAcentral.